Molecule: ribosomal RNA, 435 nt
Filed under: uncultured bacterium
Lineage: Bacteria
Description: partial 16S ribosomal RNA
Rfam family: Bacterial small subunit ribosomal RNA
Source: RNAcentral
AGCGAACGCUGGCGGCAGGCUUAACACAUGCAAGUCGAGCGGGCAUCCUUGUGGUGUCAGCGGCAGACGGGUGAGUAACGCGUGGGAACGUGCCCUUCGGUUCGGAAUAACUCAGGGAAACUUGAGCUAAUACCGGAUACGCCCUUUUGGGGAAAGGUUUACUGCCGAAGGAUCGGCCCGCGUCUGAUUAGCUAGUUGGUGAGGUUAUGGCUCACCAAGGCGACGAUCAGUAGCUGGUCUGAGAGGAUGAUCAGCCACACUGGGACUGAGACACGGCCCAGACUCCUACGGGAGGCAGCAGUGGGGAAUAUUGGACAAUGGGGGCAACCCUGAUCCAGCCAUGCCGCGUGAGUGAUGACGGCCUUAGGGUUGUAAAGCUCUUUUCUCCGGGACGAUAAUGACGGUACCGGAGGAAUAAGCCCCGGCGAACUUCGU